RNAcentral lists this long non-coding RNA (340 nucleotides) under Homo sapiens (human). Its description in RNAcentral is "non-protein coding lnc-NR2F2-10:1". Lineage: Eukaryota; Metazoa; Chordata; Mammalia; Primates; Hominidae. The record is from RNAcentral.
AUGGCUCCUGCAAAGAAGGGUGGCGAGAAGAAAAAGGGCCAUUCUGCCAUCAAUGAGGUGGUGACCCGAGAAUACUCCAUCAACAAGUGUCCCCUUGGGCACUCUAAGAGAUUCGAAAAUUUGCCAUGAAGGAGAUGGGAACUCCAGAUGUGCACAUUGAUACCAGGUUCAACAAAGCUGUCUGGGCCAAAGGAAUAAGGAAUGUCCCAUACCAAAUCCAUGUGCGGUUGUCCAGAAAACGUAAUGAGGAUGAAGAUUCACCAAAUAAGCACUAUACUUUGGUUACCUAUGUACCUGUUACCACGUGAAAAAAUCUACAGUCAAUGUGGAUGAGAACUAA